AAGCCGCGAGGCAGAGCGAACCCCAAAAAGCCGUCCCAGUUCGGAUCGCAGGCUGCAACCCGCCUGCGUGAAGUCGGAAUCGCUAGUAAUCGCGGAUCAGCAUGCCGCGGUGAAUACGUUCCCGGGCCUUGUACACACCGCCCGUCACACCAUGAGAGUCGGGAACACCCGAAGCCCGUAGCCUAACAGCAAUGAGGGCGCGGUCGAAGGUGGGUUCGAUAAUUGGGGUGAAGUCGUAACAAGGUAUC
RNAcentral lists this ribosomal RNA (248 nucleotides) under uncultured bacterium. Its description in RNAcentral is "partial 16S ribosomal RNA". It matches the Rfam family "Bacterial small subunit ribosomal RNA", at positions 1252 to 1500 of the family's 1533-position model. The record is from RNAcentral.